GAUGAACGCUGGCGGCGUGCCUAAUACAUGCAAGUCGAGCGAACAGACGAGGAGCUUGCUCCUCUGACGUUAGCGGCGGACGGGUGAGUAACACGUGGAUAACCUACCUAUUAGACUGGGAUAACUUCGGGAAACCGGAGCUAAUACCGGAUAAUAUAUUGAACCGCAUGGUUCAAUAGUGAAAGACGGUUUUGCUGUCACUUAUAGAUGGAUCCGCGCCGCAUUAGCUAGUUGGUAAGGUAACGGCUUACCAAGGCAACGAGGCGUAGCCGACCUGAGAGGGUGAUCGGCCACACUGGAACUGAGACACGGUCCAGACUCCUACGGGAGGCAGCAGUAGGGAAUCUUCCGCAAUGGGCGAAAGCUUGACGGAGCAACGCCGCGUGAGUGAUGAAGGUCUUCGGAUCGUAAAACUCUGUUAUUAGGGAAGAACAAAUGUGUAAGUAACUAUGCACGUCUUGACGGUACCUAAACAGAAAGCCACGGCUAACUACGUG
Molecule: ribosomal RNA, 497 nt
Filed under: uncultured bacterium
Lineage: Bacteria
Description: partial 16S ribosomal RNA
Rfam family: Bacterial small subunit ribosomal RNA
Source: RNAcentral